This 1063-nucleotide ribosomal RNA is filed under the name Bacillus amyloliquefaciens. RNAcentral describes it as "bacterial SSU rRNA". It matches the Rfam family "Bacterial small subunit ribosomal RNA", at positions 180 to 1229 of the family's 1533-position model. Lineage: Bacteria; Bacillati; Bacillota; Bacilli; Caryophanales; Bacillaceae. The record is from RNAcentral.
UUUGAACCGCAUGGUUCAGACAUAAAAGGUGGCUUCGGCUACCACUUACAGAUGGACCCGCGGCGCAUUAGCUAGUUGGUGAGGUAACGGCUCACCAAGGCGACGAUGCGUAGCCGACCUGAGAGGGUGAUCGGCCACACUGGGACUGAGACACGGCCCAGACUCCUACGGGAGGCAGCAGUAGGGAAUCUUCCGCAAUGGACGAAAGUCUGACGGAGCAACGCCGCGUGAGUGAUGAAGGUUUUCGGAUCGUAAAGCUCUGUUGUUAGGGAAGAACAAGUGCCGUUCAAAUAGGGCGGCACCUUGACGGUACCUAACCAGAAAGCCACGGCUAACUACGUGCCAGCAGCCGCGGUAAUACGUAGGUGGCAAGCGUUGUCCGGAAUUAUUGGGCGUAAAGGGCUCGCAGGCGGUUUCUUAAGUCUGAUGUGAAAGCCCCCGGCUCAACCGGGGAGGGUCAUUGGAAACUGGGGAACUUGAGUGCAGAAGAGGAGAGUGGAAUUCCACGUGUAGCGGUGAAAUGCGUAGAGAUGUGGAGGAACACCAGUGGCGAAGGCGACUCUCUGGUCUGUAACUGACGCUGAGGAGCGAAAGCGUGGGGAGCGAACAGGAUUAGAUACCCUGGUAGUCCACGCCGUAAACGAUGAGUGCUAAGUGUUAGGGGGUUUCCGCCCCUUAGUGCUGCAGCUAACGCAUUAAGCACUCCGCCUGGGGAGUACGGUCGCAAGACUGAAACUCAAAGGAAUUGACGGGGGCCCGCACAAGCGGUGGAGCAUGUGGUUUAAUUCGAAGCAACGCGAAGAACCUUACCAGGUCUUGACAUCCUCUGACAAUCCUAGAGAUAGGACGUCCCCUUCGGGGGCAGAGUGACAGGUGGUGCAUGGUUGUCGUCAGCUCGUGUCGUGAGAUGUUGGGUUAAGUCCCGCAACGAGCGCAACCCUUGAUCUUAGUUGCCAGCAUUCAGUUGGGCACUCUAAGGUGACUGCCGGUGACAAACCGGAGGAAGGUGGGGAUGACGUCAAAUCAUCAUGCCCCUUAUGACCUGGGCUACACACGUGCUACA